This 687-nucleotide ribosomal RNA is filed under the name Bacillus sp. (in: firmicutes). RNAcentral's name for it is "bacterial SSU rRNA". It matches the Rfam family "Bacterial small subunit ribosomal RNA", at positions 74 to 746 of the family's 1533-position model. The record is from RNAcentral. Lineage: Bacteria; Bacillati; Bacillota; Bacilli; Caryophanales; Bacillaceae.
GGGAGCUUGCUCCCUGAAGUCAGCGGCGGACGGGUGAGUAACACGUGGGCAACCUGCCUGUAAGACUGGGAUAACUUCGGGAAACCGGAGCUAAUACCGGAUAAUGCACAGCCUCUCAUGAGGCUAUGCUGAAAGAUGGUUUCGGCUAUCACUUACAGAUGGGCCCGCGGCGCAUUAGCUAGUUGGUGAGGUAACGGCUCACCAAGGCAACGAUGCGUAGCCGACCUGAGAGGGUGAUCGGCCACACUGGGACUGAGACACGGCCCAGACUCCUACGGGAGGCAGCAGUAGGGAAUCUUCCGCAAUGGACGAAAGUCUGACGGAGCAACGCCGCGUGAGUGAUGAAGGUUUUCGGAUCGUAAAACUCUGUUGUCAGGGAAGAACAAGUGCCGGAGUAACUGCCGGCACCUUGACGGUACCUGACCAGAAAGCCACGGCUAACUACGUGCCAGCAGCCGCGGUAAUACGUAGGUGGCAAGCGUUGUCCGGAAUUAUUGGGCGUAAAGCGCGCGCAGGCGGUCUCUUAAGUCUGAUGUGAAAGCCCACGGCUCAACCGUGGAGGGUCAUUGGAAACUGGGGGACUUGAGUGCAGAAGNNNAAAGUGGAAUUCCACGUGUAGCGGUGAAAUGCGUAGAGAUGUGGAGGAACACCAGUGGCGAANNCGACUUUCUGGUCUGUAACUGACGC